AUGAGACACCAUGAAAGAGAAGAGAGAGUUGUGCGAGAGGAGGAAGAAGAACAGCGGCGAUGUGAGGUGGCGGCGCCAACAAUUGGCAUCAGAGCGACCAGGUUCGAGGGGCGGCCGUGGCGUGCGGCGGUGUCCAUGGCGCGCGGGGUGAGCGCGGCGGACAUGGAGGCAUCGGCUGCGGUGCACGGCAAGUCUGCGGCGAUGCAGUGUGAUGUCGUGUGUGCGACGAGCAGCGGCGGUCGCGGAGGCGAGCAGGUCGCGGAGGACCUGCGUGGUGGCGCCGAGGCCGUGGCGGCUCAGCACGACGACCGUGAAGGCGCAGUGGCACGUGGCAUGGAGAUGCGGCGCGUUGGCGGAGGCCGCUGCGGCGCGGUGCUAUGCCAUGAAGCAGCGUCCGGGAAGACUUGCGUUUGA
Molecule: ribosomal RNA, 414 nt
Filed under: Triticum aestivum (bread wheat)
Lineage: Eukaryota; Viridiplantae; Streptophyta; Magnoliopsida; Poales; Poaceae
Description: partial small subunit ribosomal RNA
Source: RNAcentral